CGCUAUACUAACGGCGCAAUUGCCGGUCCACCGCUUCGGGCCGGCAUUCAUUGUGU
Molecule: small RNA, 56 nt
Filed under: Kosakonia cowanii
Lineage: Bacteria; Pseudomonadati; Pseudomonadota; Gammaproteobacteria; Enterobacterales; Enterobacteriaceae
Also listed under: 1 other name
Description: Enterobacterial sRNA STnc450
Rfam family: Enterobacterial sRNA STnc450
Source: RNAcentral